UACGCAGGUGGCAAGCGUUAUCCGGAAUUAUUGGGCGUAAAGAGCGCGCAGGUGGUUAAUUAAGUCUGAUGUGAAAGCCCACGGCUUAACCGUGGAGGGUCAUUGGAAAUUGGUUGACUUGAGUGCAGAAGAGGGAAGUGGAAUUCCAUGUGUAGCGGUGAAAUGCGUAGAGAUAUGGAGGAACACCAGUGGCGAAGGCGGCUUCCUGGUCUGCAACUGACACUGAGGCGCGAAAGCGUGGGGAGCAAACAGG
RNAcentral lists this ribosomal RNA (253 nucleotides) under uncultured bacterium. Its description in RNAcentral is "partial 16S ribosomal RNA". It matches the Rfam family "Bacterial small subunit ribosomal RNA", at positions 524 to 776 of the family's 1533-position model. The record is from RNAcentral.